GUAAUAUAUAUGAAUACAAUAAACAACUGUUGGACAAAACUUAAGAAUAAGCUGGAGUAAACAAUUGCUUCGAUUUGAAGAAAUAUUUGAACAGAAACUGAACCAUUUCUUGAGACAGUUGAGGUAAUUAACCGGAAUCAACUUGAGAAAUAACAGUGUUUUAAAGAAAUUACAGUUAGGAAACUACUGUAUUAAAGGUAUUUCGAAUAGCAUAAGCUGGCCUCUGUCUUGAAAAAUAACUUUAUUAAUGUUACAUAUCUUUCGGUAUAUUGUUAUCUUAAAUGUAAAUUUUACAUUCUAUCUUCUCAGCAUUUGUAAAGCAACUAAGCUGAAUGUAUGAACUUUUUACUGGCACUUUUCUGUAAAUUAGGCUGAGAAAUAUUUUUAUAAGUGAUUUAGGCUUGCUGAUACAUUAUUGAUGUUACAUAGUCUUGUUUGUGUUAACGACGCUGAAUAUUAAAACAUUAAAAAAAAUGGAAUGAUUAUUUAAACUUUGUGUUUGAUAGUUUGGGAGAUAGGAUAAUGUCUGUCUGCUACUGACCUACUUACUGUACAAAUAAACUUGAGUCCAAAGCCAGGAAAUGUUUCGAACAAUCUGCAUGAUAAAGCUUCACUCUACAGUUAAU
This 626-nucleotide unclassified non-coding RNA is filed under the name Melitaea cinxia (Glanville fritillary). RNAcentral's name for it is "misc RNA ENSMCXG00005017397.1". The record is from RNAcentral. Lineage: Eukaryota; Metazoa; Arthropoda; Insecta; Lepidoptera; Nymphalidae.